Molecule: ribosomal RNA, 892 nt
Filed under: Escherichia coli
Lineage: Bacteria; Pseudomonadati; Pseudomonadota; Gammaproteobacteria; Enterobacterales; Enterobacteriaceae
Description: partial 23S ribosomal RNA
Rfam family: Bacterial large subunit ribosomal RNA
Source: RNAcentral
CUGUGAAGAUGCAGUGUACCCGCGGCAAGACGGAAAGACCCCGUGAACCUUUACUAUAGCUUGACACUGAACAUUGAGCCUUGAUGUGUAGGAUAGGUGGGAGGCUUUGAAGUGUGGACGCCAGUCUGCAUGGAGCCGACCUUGAAAUACCACCCUUUAAUGUUUGAUGUUCUAACGUGGACCCGUAAUCCGGGUUGCGGACAGUGUCUGGUGGGUAGUUUGACUGGGGCGGUCUCCUCCUAAAGAGUAACGGAGGAGCACGAAGGUUGGCUAAUCCUGGUCGGACAUCAGGAGGUUAGUGCAAUGGCAUAAGCCAGCUUGACUGCGAGCGUGACGGCGCGAGCAGGUGCGAAAGCAGGUCAUAGUGAUCCGGUGGUUCUGAAUGGAAGGGCCAUCGCUCAACGGAUAAAAGGUACUCCGGGGAUAACAGGCUGAUACCGCCCAAGAGUUCAUAUCGACGGCGGUGUUUGGCACCUCGAUGUCGGCUCAUCACAUCCUGGGGCUGAAGUAGGUCCCAAGGGUAUGGCUGUUCGCCAUUUAAAGUGGUACGCGAGCUGGGUUUAGAACGUCGUGAGACAGUUCGGUCCCUAUCUGCCGUGGGCGCUGGAGAAUUGAGGGGGGCUGCUCCUAGUACGAGAGGACCGGAGUGGACGCAUCACUGGUGUUCGGGUUGUCAUGCCAAUGGCACUGCCCGGUAGCUAAAUGCGGAAGAGAUAAGUGCUGAAAGCAUCUAAGCACGAAACUUGCCCCGAGAUGAGUUCUCCCUGACUCCUUGAGAGUCCUGAAGGAACGUUGAAGACGACGACGUUGAUAGGCCGGGUGUGUAAGCGCAGCGAUGCGUUGAGCUAACCGGUACUAAUGAACCGUGAGGCUUAACCUUACAACGCCGAAG